This 294-nucleotide unclassified non-coding RNA is filed under the name Hevea brasiliensis (rubber tree). Lineage: Eukaryota; Viridiplantae; Streptophyta; Magnoliopsida; Malpighiales; Euphorbiaceae. The record is from RNAcentral.
AAGUAUCUAGAACAUCCGCUACCACACGAUUAUCCAAAAAAAAUAUUUAUAAUAUUUAAAAUUGAUGGGGCUUUAGCCCAAUUAAAAUAUAAAUAAGAACUGAAAAUUUGGUGCACUAGAUGUAUACUAGUGUAUACAUUCCCAUACGUUUGCUCCAAACACAUGUACAUCGAGUUCAUGAGCUUUUUUUAAUGAUUGGCUGACUCAAAUAAAAGUGAUCGGGCCUUCACAACACAUUUCGAAGAUGCAAGGAAGAAUAUAUGAAGUCUGUAGGCUCAAUCAACGGAUUUCAUG